UACAGAGGUCCCAAGCGUUGUUCGGAUUCAUUGGGCGUAAAGGGUGCGUAGGUGGCGCUGUAAGUCGGGUGUGAAAUUUCGGAGCUUAACUCCGAAACUGCAUUCGAUACUGCGGUGCUCGAGGACUGGAGAGGAGACUGGAAUUCAUGGUGUAGCAGUGAAAUGCGUAGAGAUCAUGAGGAAGACCAGUGGCGAAGGCGGGUCUCGUGGGCCGGUACUGACGCUGAGGAGCGAAAGCGUGGGGAGCAAACAGG
RNAcentral lists this ribosomal RNA (254 nucleotides) under uncultured bacterium. Its description in RNAcentral is "partial 16S ribosomal RNA". It matches the Rfam family "Bacterial small subunit ribosomal RNA", at positions 524 to 776 of the family's 1533-position model. The record is from RNAcentral.